GCCUUCGAGGUGUAGCGGUCAGCACGCUCGACGAGUAACCAAGAGGUCCGUGGUUCGAUUCCCGGCGAAGGCG
RNAcentral lists this transfer RNA (73 nucleotides) under Stegodyphus mimosarum. It matches the Rfam family "tRNA". Rfam says of the family: Transfer RNA (tRNA) molecules are approximately 80 nucleotides in length. Their secondary structure includes four short double-helical elements and three loops (D, anti-codon, and T loops). Lineage: Eukaryota; Metazoa; Arthropoda; Arachnida; Araneae; Eresidae. The record is from Rfam by way of RNAcentral.